GCUUGUCUCAAAGAUUAAGCCAUGCAUGUCUAAGUAUAAACAAAUCUUGUGAAACUGCGAAUGGCUCAUUAUAUCAGUUAUAGUUUAUUUGAUGGUUCUUGCUACUUGGAUAACCGUAGUAAUUCUAGAGCUAAUACAUGCAUCAAACCCCGACUCACGAAGGGGUGUAUUUAUUAGAUGGAAACCAAUGCGGGGCAACCCGGAUUAUGGUGAUUCAUAAUAACUUUCAGAUCGAUCGCAAGAUCGAUGCAUCAUUCAAGUUUCUGCCCUAUCAGCUUUGGAUGGUAGGGUAUUGGCCUACCAUGGCUUUAACGGGUAACGGAGAAUUAGGGUUCGAUUCCGGAGAGGGAGCCUGAGAGAUGGCUACCACAUCCAAGGAAGGCAGCAGG
RNAcentral lists this ribosomal RNA (389 nucleotides) under uncultured Chrysophyceae. RNAcentral's name for it is "partial small subunit ribosomal RNA". It matches the Rfam family "Eukaryotic small subunit ribosomal RNA", at positions 30 to 432 of the family's 1831-position model. Lineage: Eukaryota; Chrysophyceae. The record is from RNAcentral.